GACAGAGGAGCCAAGCGUUGUCCGGAUUUACUGGGCGUAAAGCGCACGCAGGCGGCCGUGCACGUGGGGUGUGAAAGCUGGCGGCUUAACUGCCAGACGCCACCUCAUACGGCACGGCUCGAGCCCGUGAGAGGUCCACGGAAUUGCCGGUGUAGUGGUGAAAUGCGUAGAGAUCGGCAGGAACACCCAGGGGGAAACCAGUGGACUGGCACGGUGCUGACGCUCAGGUGCGAAAGCGUGGGGAGCGAACCGG
This 253-nucleotide ribosomal RNA is filed under the name uncultured bacterium. RNAcentral describes it as "partial 16S ribosomal RNA". It matches the Rfam family "Bacterial small subunit ribosomal RNA", at positions 524 to 776 of the family's 1533-position model. The record is from RNAcentral.